UUAUAUCACGUGACCAGACUCAGCUGAUACACAGAAGCAGGAAAUUUUGAUUUCUCGGAUGAAUUGGAGUCUUUAGUUUGGAAGACUGGGGUGUUUUUGGUCUUUUUUUGUGUUAAAUAAAACUGGAAGCCAUGCACGAUAGUCGAUUUAUGUGAACCCGAAUCUACUGGUGCCAUAAAAACCGUCAAAGGGAUGGAGAUGCUUAUGGAUCCCUCUCACCUCCUCAGAGGUUCCUCUAAUGGCACGAACACGACCGAGCUGACGUACGGCUUCGUAUCCUGUGCAGUUUCCGUCCUCUUCUUUGGGAGCAACUUUGUUCCUGUAAAGAAAAUCGACACUGGCGAUGGCAUGUUUUUCCAGUGGGUGCUCUGCGCUGCUAUAUGGACCGUGGCUCUGAUUGCGAACAUCAUCUUAAACAGCCCGAAGUUCUGGCCCCUGGCUAUGCUGGGAGGAGCCAUAUGGGCCACAGGAAACAUUACGGUCGUGCCCAUACUCAAGACCAUCGGUCUCGGCCUAGGCCUUUUAAUUUGGGCUUCUUUCAACCUCUUGAUGGGCUGGGCCAGCUCACGAUUUGGCUGGUUUGGUAUUGAAGCGGAGAAAGUCAGCAACCCGAUACUUAACUACUGCGGAGCUGGAUUGUGUUUGCUUAGCGCCAUGGUGUUUUUCUUUGUGAAGACCAAUGUUCAGAGGCCUGUUGCAGCUGAAGAGACGCCACUGCUAAUAGACAGUAGUGUAAACACCAGCCCUCACACAUCAUCGGAUAACUCGUGGGUGGACAUGUUGCCGCCUCUCACUAAGCGCCUGGUAGGUUCAGGAAUGGCCGUAGUAGCUGGACUCCUCUACGGUUCAUCGUUCAUCCCCAUGCUGUACAUCAAAGUCCACGCAAGUCAGCAUGACAGCCAAUAUGUUGGGGCGAGCCAGUUCGAUCUGGAUUACGUCUUCGCUCAUUUCAGUGGGAUCUUUCUCACCAGCACUGUAUACUUCAUCAUCUACUGCGCCUUCAAAAAGAACAAACCGCAAGUGUUCCCUAAAGCCGUGCUCCCAGGGUUUGUUUCUGGGCUGAUGUGGGGUGUGGCCACCUGCUGCUGGUUCCUGGCCAAUCAUUACCUGAAGCCACUGGUGAGCUUCCCCAUCAUUACUACGGUUCCUGGGCUUAUUGCUGCUUUAUGGGGGGUCGUGGUUUUUAAAGAAGUGAAGGGAUUGAGGAACUACCUACUUCUCAUCCUGGCGUUUUGUAUGAUCGUGAGUGGAGCGUUACUGACUGGCUUCUCGCUGUAGUUACACAUCAGCACCACACGAUGGAGACAAAAACACCUAAUCUUUCCAUUAGGCUUCGUAAACCUCGUUCUGUACCUCAGCAUGAAGAUCUUAUUUAUGAUGAAUAUCCUGAUUUCUGUGAAAAGUGUCAGAAAAAUCAGAUCAAAUAUGAAAAAUGAGACCAAAACCUGAGACUCUUCUUUGAGUUGAGUUCUUUUGGAUAGACUGUAACUGACCUGUAAUAUAACCCCAGCUUUUCCUACAGCAGUUUUAAUUUCUAAAAUGUGCACGUUUUACAAUUUACAUGUAAAUUUGCAACACAUGGUUAUAGUUAAUUAUCCAUGAUGCCGCCUCUAGAACAAGCUCUUACGCCGAAUUCACAGAAAAAUUUACUACUGAUCACAAAUGUUCUGAAUGCAGCAUCAUGGAGAAUAAACCAUAACUGUUUGUUACGCCGGUGCGUAGAUUCACGUGGAGAAAAAUAAGAAAAAAAACAAGAAAAAAAAACAAAUUCUAAUGCGUGGCCUCUUUAGAACUUAGAGUUCAAAGAAGAUGUUCAAAAGGUUUGAGAUCUUUUAUCUUGUGUGCUUAUUAAGUGCAUUAGUGAUUUCCUGGCACUUUGUUUAAUGUCCUAUUAUUCUGAAGGGAUCGCAAUCAGGCAGCUGAUUAUCAGAACUGUAACAGUUUAAUAAAAGCUCUUUUUUGA
Molecule: RNA transcript, 1963 nt
Organism: Silurus meridionalis
Lineage: Eukaryota; Metazoa; Chordata; Actinopteri; Siluriformes; Siluridae
Gene: tmem144a
Gene name: transmembrane protein 144a
Exons: 13
Source: RefSeq, a predicted model, not a curated record